Molecule: transfer RNA, 97 nt
Filed under: Tersicoccus solisilvae
Lineage: Bacteria; Bacillati; Actinomycetota; Actinomycetes; Micrococcales; Micrococcaceae
Description: tRNA-Gly
Source: RNAcentral
UUGAUGAUCGGCGUGUCGAACAGCGCGCCGACACUGCCGAUGUUGGUGAUGGUGAAGGUGCCGCCGGAGAGCUCGUUCGGGGCGAUCUUGUUGGUCC